This 107-nucleotide small nucleolar RNA is filed under the name Sorghum bicolor (sorghum). RNAcentral's name for it is "Plant small nucleolar RNA R71". It matches the Rfam family "Plant small nucleolar RNA R71". Rfam says of the family: R71 is a member of the C/D box family of snoRNAs containing the C (UGAUGA) and D (CUGA) box motifs. Multiple nearly identical copies of this snoRNA have been identified in Arabidopsis, and it is thought to function as a 2'-O-ribose methylation guide for 18S ribosomal RNA. Lineage: Eukaryota; Viridiplantae; Streptophyta; Magnoliopsida; Poales; Poaceae. The record is from Rfam by way of RNAcentral.
AUCCCAUGAUGAGGACAGACACAAAUGUACUCAUUGAGACAUUCCCAUGCUCCAGGAAUCGUCUCGUCGGACUGUUGCUGGAAGCUUGAAAUCUUCCCACGCAAGGC